UGUGUGUGUGUGUGUGCCUGUAUGCAUGUGUGGCAAAAAGUGGCACUUUUAGUGUGUUCUUUGCAGAUAUAUUUUUUGCAGUUGAAGCACAAUGGGCAUCAUUCAUCAAC
Molecule: long non-coding RNA, 110 nt
Organism: Thalassophryne amazonica
Lineage: Eukaryota; Metazoa; Chordata; Actinopteri; Batrachoidiformes; Batrachoididae
Exons: 5
Source: RefSeq, a predicted model, not a curated record